CUCUUUUCACAUUUGCCCCUCGUUUUAGAGCAAUAAUAGAAAUGUAGCAGUCGAUUGGCUACAAAGAUUUAACGUUUUUAUUUUCUUCUUCUACUUUUCUCCUAAUUUCGUCUUCCUCCAUCUUCUUUCCCAUUUCUUCUAAAUUGGCCUAAUGAAUUCGGCUUCAAUUCCUUAUUAAACAACCUUUCAAUUCAAUGGAUGAUUUUCUUUGGGUUUUUUUGAUGGGCAAGAAAAAACCUAGAAAACUAAGAAGAUUGCAACAGUCGCCAUAUUUUGAGGACUCCACCUUCAAAUGAGUCGAUGAUGGUAUAUCAUUCUUCGAGUACGUUUCCGUCUAACCUUUAAUUUAGCGAUUGAGUUCGUUUUUUGUCUCAUUUUUUUAAAAAUCAAUGAUGUAGAUUAUCUUCAAUGGUCCUAAAUGGUGAAACAAAUGAAGGAAUCCGACGACGAGAAAAAAAGGGAGGAUGAGUAGCCUGGUCGUUUUACUACUGGUGACUCCGUGAGAAUGAAGAAAUCAGUUGGCAAAGUUCAAUUGAAAUAGGGACAAUUUGGGUAUUUAAAAGUUUACCGUGUUUUUCAAUUUUUUUUUGGUUAUAUUAUGUAAAUAGUUUGUCCUUCUCGAUAUUUGAUCAUGAUGUUCCAUAGUUAUUUUAAUUUUAUCACAUGUGUUCACAUUAAAUAGAACACUAUAUCUAGAAAACUUUGUUAGAUAUAUUUUAAUUAAACUAGUUCAUAACAUAUGCACA
This 746-nucleotide long non-coding RNA is filed under the name Cucumis sativus (cucumber). RNAcentral's name for it is "long non-coding RNA (CSAT_LNC001202)". Lineage: Eukaryota; Viridiplantae; Streptophyta; Magnoliopsida; Cucurbitales; Cucurbitaceae. The record is from RNAcentral.